Lycium barbarum (goji berry) is the source of this 966-nucleotide long non-coding RNA. RefSeq lists it as uncharacterized. Lineage: Eukaryota; Viridiplantae; Streptophyta; Magnoliopsida; Solanales; Solanaceae. The transcript is spliced from 3 exons. The record is from RefSeq and is a predicted model, not a curated record.
UUGACCACAUCAUAAAGGGAAAACCUUAUCCAUUAAGUGAAUAAAAAAAUAUAAGGAUUAACUUUUGGUUAUUAAGUAUUUCUAUCCAUUCUUUGCAAUGUUUUCUAACGAAAACCAGUAGCUAACACGAAAAUGAGUGAUCUCUCGGCCAAGACUUGAUCUUGAUGCUAGUCAAGGUUUUAUACUGGUUACUCCUUUAUGACUUAAAGGAUUCAAACGUCUAUUCCCUCCGGGUUAUAGCAAAGCAAAGUAAGGUGGAAGAAGAUUGUAGAAAAAGAUUUUGGACGAAACGGGAUUUGAAUUUGGAGAGGCGUAAGGAGCGAAUAAGGUACAGACGCACAGUUUGGUGAUCCACCAGUUUAGGACACCCUCUUCUGCUGUUUGGAGUGCUUCUCUUAUUCCGGAGCCUACAUUUUGGUAUAUAUACUCAUUCGUUGCAUAUGUAUAUAUUUGUUCAGGGGUACGGCGGGUCCCUGUCCCGCCAUAUGAUCUGUUUGGUCUGUUUAGAGGUCUGUAGACGUAUUUGUGGGUGUGUGUGCCUACUUCUGUUCAGAUGUGUUUGUAUGAUCCUAUUCGCUAUGGUAGCCUUGUCGGCGUGCAUUCGUAUUUGUUUUGGGGCCGUUGUGCCAUUUGAUAGCCUUGUCGGCUUUUGAUAUAUGUAUAUGCAUAUGCAUAUGGUUGCGUUUGAAAUAUGUCUAAGACAGUUUGAUAUAGUUGAGGCGGCGUAUAAUGAUUAUGGCCGUAUAUGAUUUGUGGCAGUAUGUGAUUCGAUUUGGAUAAGUGUGUUACGAUUUGAUAUGUUUGUCUGUCUGGGUGUCCAAGUAGGGCACCAGUCGCGGCCCACGGGGUUGGGUCGUGACACUUGUCCUACGGUGGCUACGUAGUUUCAAGCUAUCUGAGCCUUCUCGGUAAUUUGUGCAACUCCCAAAAACAUGAACAUGAUUUAAUUGGCUAAGAAGCCCAUGA